GAUCAUGGCUCAGAACGAACGCUGGCGGCAGGCUUAACACAUGCAAGUUGAACGGGAACAUACGAUAGCUUGCUAUAGUAUGUGAGAGUGGCGCACGGGUGAGUAAUACAUGGGAACAUACCUUAAAGUGGGGGAUAACUUCUGGAAACGGAUGCUAAUACCGCAUAUACCCUGAGGGGGAAAGAUUUAUCGCUUUAAGAUUGGCCCAUGGCAGAUUAGGUAGUUGGUGGGGUAAAGGCCUACCAAGCCG
Molecule: ribosomal RNA, 250 nt
Filed under: uncultured bacterium
Lineage: Bacteria
Description: partial 16S ribosomal RNA
Rfam family: Bacterial small subunit ribosomal RNA
Source: RNAcentral